RNAcentral lists this ribosomal RNA (417 nucleotides) under uncultured Oscillospiraceae bacterium. Its description in RNAcentral is "bacterial SSU rRNA". It matches the Rfam family "Bacterial small subunit ribosomal RNA", at positions 80 to 507 of the family's 1533-position model. The record is from RNAcentral. Lineage: Bacteria; Bacillati; Bacillota; Clostridia; Eubacteriales; Oscillospiraceae.
GGAGAGGAAGCCUUAGUGGCGGACGGGUCGAGUAACGACGUGAGACAUACACCUUGGAGUGGGGAAGUAACAACAUGAAAACUAGUGCUAAUACCGCAUAAUACAACUGUGUCGCAUGGCAGUGGUUGUCAAAGAUUUAUCGCUCUGAGAUGAGCUCGCGUCUGAUUAGCUAGUAGCGGGGUAAAGGCCCGACCUAGGCGACGAUCAGUAGCCGGACUGAGAGGUUGGCCGGCCACAUUGGGACUGAGACACGGCCCAGACUCCUACGGGAGGCAGCAGUGGGGAAUAUUGGGCAAUGGGCGCAAGCCUGACCCAGCAACGCCGCGUGAAGGAAGAAGGCCUUCGGGCUGUAAACUUCUUUUAUGAGGGACGAAGGAAGUGACGGUACCUCAUGAAUAAGCCACGGCUAACUACGUG